CCUAAAAAGUACUAUUAUUUUAUUUAUUUUUGAUGUUCAAAAAUUAGCCUUUGACAAGUUAAGGGAUAAGAUUUGUAUUUCUGUAGCAACUGUGAAUAAUUGUGUAAGUCGAUUUCAGUGAUUUUAUAGGAGAGCGAUUUUAAACUUUGACCAGCUGCCAUAAAUCCCUACUUAGCCAAUAACUCACAUCUCUCUCAUGGUUUUCUUGUUGGUCCAAUGAGUUAGAAAUGUAUUGAAUGUGUGCUAGACGCCUCUGACUACAUCCUAGCAUACUUAGUCAAUUUUUACCAAAAUUCGACUUACACACUAAUUCACAGUUGUUACAGAUUUAUUGUUUCUCCGAAUAAAGUGGUCACUCCGAAGUGUCAAAUUUGAGCAUUACUGUUACGAUGACUAUGGUUAUGUACUUGAUGUAAGGUAUCAAAAAUAUAUAUAAUAUAGUUGGAUUCCAGAGAACUCCUCGAUGGUCGCUCUACAUAACGGACAGUUAAAAUUCUCUGUCAGGAGUCGUAUGGCGCAAGUAUUACAGUAUUUGUGCGUACAUGGCUGUAAGAUGACGGUCGUCUCUUCAUUCAUACAAAUGGGACAUAUAUCAACAACUUCUAAAAGAAACAAUGUAAAUUAUAAAGGGAACAAUGUUGUCCAUUCAUACUAAUUACCCGUACAUACCAUUUAAAUCUUAAAAUUCUUCCACAAGUCCAUUCCAGUUAAUUUGAUGAUUUGGUCCAAUACGCUGGCGAUUUACUAAAAUUGACUACCUUCUGGCUGUUGUAUGGGACCCAACAUUUGAUUUAUAUAAGAUUCGUUUAUAUGUCCUACUCUGCGUAAAUAUUGGACAGGAUCUCCACCAUUACGUAUGUCUUGUAAUGCAUUUUGCAACAAGUUAUUGUUGAGAUGCCUUGAUGUAGCAAAUCUUCGACGAACCUUUAAAUUUCAAGAUAGGAGUGGCAAAUGUUGUUUAAAGCCUAUUUUAGCGCUGAACUAAAACUAAAAACUAGAAAAACUAGAAAAACUAGAAAAAUUAGAAAAAAUAGAAAAACUUGAAAUCUAGAAAAACUAGAAAAGAUAGAAAAACUAGAAAAUUGAAAAACUAGAAAAACUAGAAAAA
Adelges cooleyi (spruce gall adelgid) is the source of this 1108-nucleotide long non-coding RNA. RefSeq lists it as uncharacterized. Lineage: Eukaryota; Metazoa; Arthropoda; Insecta; Hemiptera; Adelgidae. The record is from RefSeq and is a predicted model, not a curated record. The transcript is spliced from 5 exons.